GACGAACGCUGGCGGCGUGCUUAACACAUGCAAGUCGAACGGAAAGGCCCUGCUUUUGUGGGGUGCUCGAGUGGCGAACGGGUGAGUAACACGUGAGUAACCUGCCCUUGACUUUGGGAUAACUUCAGGAAACUGGGGCUAAUACCGGAUAGGAGCUCCUGCUGCAUGGUGGGGGUUGGAAAGUUUCGGCGGUUGGGGAUGGACUCGCGGCUUAUCAGCUUGUUGGUGGGGUAGUGGCUUACCAAGGCUUUGACGGGUAGCCGGCCUGAGAGGGUGACCGGCCACAUGGGGACUGAGAUACGGCCCAGACCCCUAGGGGGGGCAGCGGGGGGGAAUAUUGCACAAGGGGGGGAAGCCUGAUGCAGAAACGCCGGGGGGGGGAUGCGGGCCUUCGGGUUGAAAACCGCUUUCCCCGGGGACGAAGGGUGGGUGACGGUAAUGGGUAAAGAAGCACCGCCUAACUACGU
RNAcentral lists this ribosomal RNA (467 nucleotides) under uncultured bacterium. RNAcentral's name for it is "partial 16S ribosomal RNA". It matches the Rfam family "Bacterial small subunit ribosomal RNA", at positions 28 to 506 of the family's 1533-position model. The record is from RNAcentral.